RNAcentral lists this ribosomal RNA (392 nucleotides) under uncultured bacterium. Its description in RNAcentral is "bacterial SSU rRNA". It matches the Rfam family "Bacterial small subunit ribosomal RNA", at positions 28 to 429 of the family's 1533-position model. The record is from RNAcentral.
GAUGAACGCUGGCGGCGUGCCUAACACAUGCAAGUCGAGCGAUUCUCUUCGGAGAAGAGCGGCGGACGGGUGAGUAACGCGUGGGUAACCUGCCCUGUACACACGGAUGACAUACCGAAAGGUAUGCUAAAUACGAGAUAAUAUGCUUUUAUCGCAUGGUAGAAGUAUCAAAGCUCCGGCGGUACAGGAUGGACCCGCGUCUGAUUAGCUAGUUGGUAAGUACGGCUUACCAAGGCGACGAUCAGUAGCCGACCUGAGACGGUGAUCGGCCACAUUGGGAACUGAGACACGGGUCCAAACUCCUACGGGAGGCAGCAGUGGGAAUAUUGCACAAUGGGCGAAAGCCUGAUGCAGCAACGCCGCGUGAGCGAUGAAGGCCUUCGGGUCGUAAA